UGGAAAAUGCAAAACCAACCAGCUGUUGGUCAAUGCUAAUUUAAAAUCCUCCAGUUCAGAGGACUCAAGAGAUUGUGUAAAUUCAUUAUAAGAAGCUUUGCAGAGUCAUGAUCUCUGGAAACAUCUAUCGGCACUGUCAGAAAGACACACACACACACACAGAAGACACCACUAAGAGCCACUUUCAAGCCCAGCAGCCCUCUUACAAGGACACAAGGCAAAGAUAUAUCACAGCUCCCUACAGAGUAUUGCACUUUGCUGCAUGGACCUGGCUUGUGUAGAAUUUGGGAGAAUUUCACACUCCUUAUGAGCAACCUGGAUGAAGACAGAGGCCUCAUUUCCAGAAGAGCUCUCUGUGGAGUCACGUAUCUCAGAGCCAGUCUGUUCAGACAAGACACCAGUACAAGCUCCAGGCAAGAAAAGCUGCCAGCACUGCCUGCAAGUCAAACUUCAUGGCUGGCAGCACAGCAUGAGUAGGAGCUCCUGCACUUGUCUCUUGGCUGUGUAGCAGAGCCUGACCAUAUUGCCUGACCAUAUUG
RNAcentral lists this long non-coding RNA (539 nucleotides) under Parus major (Great Tit). RNAcentral's name for it is "lncRNA (ENSPMJG00000013817.1)". Lineage: Eukaryota; Metazoa; Chordata; Aves; Passeriformes; Paridae. The record is from RNAcentral.